Molecule: ribosomal RNA, 253 nt
Filed under: uncultured bacterium
Lineage: Bacteria
Description: partial 16S ribosomal RNA
Rfam family: Bacterial small subunit ribosomal RNA
Source: RNAcentral
GACAGAGGGUGCAAACGUUGUUCGGAAUUACUGGGCGUAAAGCGCGUGUAGGCGGCCCUGCAAGUCGGGUGUGAAAUCCCACGGCUCAACCGUGGAAGUGCACUCGAAACUGCAGGGCUAGAGUCCUGGAGAGGAAGGUGGAAUGCUUGGUGUAGAGGUGAAAUUCGUAGAUAUCAAGCGGAACACCGGUGGCGAAGGCGGCCUUCUGGGCAGUGACUGACGCUGAGACGCGAAAGCGUGGGGAGCAAACAGG